RNA transcript from Bufo bufo (common toad), 1343 nucleotides. It is a transcript of the gene named heterogeneous nuclear ribonucleoprotein D like, with no coding region annotated. The transcript has 9 exons. The record is from RefSeq and is a predicted model, not a curated record. NCBI's taxonomy places the organism in Eukaryota, Metazoa, Chordata, Amphibia, Anura, Bufonidae.
GAUCUUUUCAGUUGUUGACUGACUGCCGUGCGUUCGCUUGUUGGUGUUAUCGUGCGCGUAAUCGGCCGGCUGAAUCAUGAGUGGAGUAGAACCUAUGGACCAGUACUCCGAGGGCUCGAAGAUCAACGCCAGCAAGAAUCUGCAGGAUGAAGGGAAGAUGUUCAUCGGAGGGUUGAGCUGGGACACGAGUAAGAAGGAUCUGAUGGAAUACCUCUCCCGGUUUGGAGAAGUUUUAGACUGCACCAUUAAGACCGACCCUGUUACUGGCCGCUCACGGGGCUUUGGCUUUGUCCUCUUCAAGGAUGCGAUCAGUGUGGAUAGGGUGUUGGAGAUCAAGGAACACAAGCUUGAUGGAAAACUCAUUGACCCUAAAAGAGCAAAGGCCUUAAAGGGGAAGGAGCCUCCAAAGAAAGUGUUUGUUGGUGGCCUGAGCCCAGACACGACGGAGGAGCAGAUCAGAGAUUAUUUUGGAGGCUUUGGAGACAUUGAAAGCGUUGAACUUCCAACAGACCCAAAAACUAACGAGAGGAGAGGGUUUUGUUUUAUUACAUAUGUGUAUGAAGAGCCAGUGAAGAAGCUUUUGGAAAGCAGAUACCAUCAGAUUGGCUCAGGAAAGUGUGAAAUCAAAGUUGCACAACCCAAAGAACUCUACAGACAACAGCAGCAGCAAGGAGGAAGAGGGGCAUCAAAUGGUCGCGGAGGUGGACGAGGGAGAGGCAGAGGAGGCCAAGGACAAAGCUGGAAUCAAGGGUACAAUAACUACUAUGAUCAAGGAUAUGGAAACUACAGCAGCGGUGCCUACAGUGAUCCUAGCUACAGUAACUAUGGCGGAUAUGACUAUUACGGAAACUAUAGUGGUUACAGCAACCCAAGUUACACAGACUACAGUGGUCAACAAAGUACAUAUGGAAAAGCGUCAAGGGGAGGUGGCAACCACCAGAACAACUACCAGCCAUACUGAGGUCUAGCAGCUUCACAUAAGCGGGAACUUCAUUGCAGGCCGUGUGUCACCCUGACCACGUCUAUCUCUGGGGUCGCACGUUGUGGGCAGAGCGCAAGGCGUACACCAGAAACCGCUGUCCUGUGGAGCGGAGGACUGGCAACACAAGUCAUCCAGGCUGGCGAUAGAUCUACACAUGUGUGUGAGGACUUGUGUACAAGGCACGGUGGUGUCUUGCUGUAAAUAUUACCCCCCCCCACCACCACCUUUUUUAUGGCUUAUUUCCCCAUCUGUAUACAGUGCUUUUAUGUUCAUCCACUUGUGUGUAAAACUAUUUGUAACCAUAAAUUGUGACUUUCACUGCAUCCAGUGUUUGCCAUUUGUAAUAAAAGGUUAAAAAACU